AGGAGAUCAAGAGCAGCCUUCAAGUACUGAAUUUUUUCAAAGGGCAUAUCAACAGUAGCCUCAGCACCCUCAGGCAAGAUACUCCCAUUCUCCAUUACUGGAAAGGGAAGUUCCACGAACUUUAUCAGAGAUGACAAAUUUGGUGGAGGUUUAGGCAGUCUCUGGAUGUUCCUUGGAGUAGAUACCAGUGAAACUCGGAUUCCUGCUUUAGCUAUGGCGAUGGCAAGGUGAAAAAACGGAAUCAUGUGGCCGAAGGCCGACCAUGGAAGCAUGACUACAUGCAUUUUACCAGUCAUUUCCCACCGUGAAUGCACUCCGUAUCAGCCCAACACUGGAAUACAAACCAAACGUAUAGAGAAAAAACAAGUAAAGAGUAAAAUAAGAAAAAUUUUAGAAAAAAAAUGAGUAAGAAAAAAUUGAGAAAAAUAAAUAAAACUGUGUGAAAAAUACAAUUAAUUUCUUCAAAAAUUUUAAUCUUCAUUGAAGAAAAAUUAAUGAAAAUAUAUAUUUUAAUAUUUUUUAUUUAUUAUUAUUAUUAUUUUUUUCUUGAUAUCCAAUAGAUAUAUAUAUAAAAUAUUUUUUUAGCCUUUUUUUCUAGUUACUUUUCAUGAGUCAAAUAAAUUAGAAUAAAAAAAUUGACACGCAUGUGCAUUAUAAGAGAGAGAAGAGCAUUUGUCUUCACCUUUGAAUAAUUGACACAAGUCCCAACUCUUUACGCCACUAACGGGUCAUUAUGAGCUUUUUGGCUUGUUAGAUGACACACCACAUGAGUGUCUGACACGUGACACCUUCCAUUGGUUUGUUUCUAUGGAUCAAUCUUCAUUUUCUGUGUGCAUAUAUUUAGAUGCAUGCCUGUGACCACCUUUAGAUGGGAGGAGGGGGGGUGUUUGUCAUGUGCAUGGAGCAAAUUAAUCGGUGGGCUCGUUUCUAACUUUCAACGUGCUACCAAACUUGGUAGGAAAAAAUGGCAAUUACAUGUGGCUUUAAAAAAACUUCUAAAAAAUUGGUAGGAAAAAAAUAGCACCGUUAAGCCAUGCCCAUAAGUGAAAGGAUAAACAAAAUUACAAAUUGGACAAAUUGCAGAAAGAUGACCCGAACCCAUAACUUCCUACUAAAUCAAGUUCUAAUAUUAUAUUGAAUUAUCAAUUUUUUUAAAAGUUUAAAUUUGUAAUAUUUUGAGUUUAAUAUGUAUAUUAUACUUCUUUACAACCUCAAAAUUUUCUUCAAAAAUAAUUUUAAUGUAAAUUUAUAAAUCAUGUUUAUACUAAAUUCUCUUUUAAAAAUAAAAAUUUUCAGUAAAAUUGUGUUUUGAAUUGUAUUUUUUUAUAAAAUAAAGUAUUACUUUUUAAAUAAUGUUAUUUAAAUUAAAAAUACGAUAAAGGGCAUGGUACCUUAGCAUUCUCUUUUUCAUGAUUGGAUUGAAUAAUAAGUUGUUGGGUUAGAGUCCAGCAUACAUCAAUCUUUGAAUUUGAACAGUUGAUACAUGAAUUAAAUCUAAAUUAUUGAACAAAUAUGCAAAAGAGAAAAUAAAUCUUAAGUUCAAACAUAUGGGAUAAAAAAAAAUGAUUAAUUAGGUUAUAAAAAAAAAAAAAAAAAGACUUUGGUGUGGCUCGACGUUUUUCACGUGUGUCCCUGCUCGAUGAUGAAACUCAUUUUUUAUUUGGUGAAAAUUUGAUUUUUAGAAAAGACUUAGAGUUGCUAUUUAUUUUUGUUUUAUUUUUAAAAGGGAAAACAAAAUAAGGAAAAAAAAAAAAAACCCUAAGUGUGACUCCUAAAGCAAAAACAGGUUUGUGAAAAACCAAAGUCGGGUUCGGGAGUCAAGUUACCUAUUGGGAAGGUACGAUGGUGAGCCAUAACACCCUUUUAAACCCGUGUACAUACAAUCUCUACUAAACGAAUUAAGAGAAUUGUGACAAUUAAUUAAUUAAUUAGGAAUACCAAGAAAAAUAAUCAUGUAAAUGAGUAUGUACAAGUCAUGAUGAAAAUCAAUAUACACAAAAAUAAUUAUCAAAUCUAAUUACAAGAAUACACAAAAUAAUUAACAAGAGAAUUAUACAAAAUGAUUUAUUGAACUAAAUAAAAAAAAGAUAUUAAAAAAAAUUUCAAGAAAUUUCAAAGUAUUUUAUUAAAAAUGAUUUUGAAUUAAUGAUUUCAAUUUAUUUAUUUACAAAAAAAGGUCAAUUUCAAAAAAAGUUAUUUACAUUAUUUUAUUACAAUAUUUUUUUUUUAAAUUUCAAUUUAGCAAUAAAAAUUAUUUUUAUUUGAAUCUUAAAAAAAAAUUCAAGAAAUUUCAAAGUAUUUUAUUAAAAAUGAUUUUGAAUUAAUGAUUUCAAUUUAUUUAUUUACAAAAAAAAUGUCAAUUUCAAAAAAAGUUAUUUACAUUAUUUUAUUACAAUAAUUUUUUUUAAAAUUUCAAUUUAGCAAUAAAAAUUAUUUUUAUUUGCUUUUACUAAAAAUGAAUGAAUUUUUAUGAAUUAUUUAAAAAAGAAAGAAAAUAUAUAAUUUUAUCUACAAAAGUUGUAUCAAUUUAAUUCUAUUUGCAAGCAAAUUAAUUUUUGUUAUUUUUUAUAGAAAACAGACUUUUACAAUUUUAUUUACAAAAAAUAUCAAAAUUCAAUCCAAUUUUAUUAACACCAAAAAAAAAAUUCAAAAAAUUAAUUUUUACAAAAUUAAUUAAAAAAAAUUUUGAAUCCAUUUUACUGUUUGAUUUUAAAAAGAUUUGUUAGAAAAUAAUUAUCUAUGAUUUUAUAAAAAGAUAUUUCAAAUUUAUUACUUACCCUUAAAGAUUUGGAAUUUGUGUAAAAAAAGUUUAUCCAAUUUUAUUAAAAAUAAAUAAAUAAGAUUUUUUAUAUUAUAUUUACAAAAACAUUCCAAUUUUGUUCUCCAAUUUGAUUUUUGCUUUCUUUUCCAAGAAUUUAUUUGCUUUAAAAAAGAAAAAAGAAAAAAAAUGGAAAUCUACAUUUCGACAAUUUUAUCUAAAAGAAAAUUUUUAUUUUACUUGUAUAAAAAAGAUUCAUGAAGAAUUAAAAUAAAAUAAAUAGAUAAAUAAAAUAAAAUAAAAUAAAAAGAAUAAAAAUAUUUUUUUUACUUUAUUUCUAUAUAUAUAAAAAAAGAAGAAUUUUGUCUUAACUACAAGAUGAUUUUGCUUACUUUAUUUAAAUAAAUAAACUAAAAUGAAUAAAUUAAUCAAUUACAAUUUUUUUUUAAAUGAAUUUAACUAAAGGAAUUUUUCCUUAAAAAGGGAUUUUGCACAAAUUUACAUAAAGAAGAAAUUUGAUUAGAAAGAUUUCUUCAUAGACUUCCCUAGUUCACACCUAUCCUAACACCUCAAAAAUUGAUCCCUUAAAUGAGACAUUCUUUAAAAAUUGGCAGGAAAGAGUUUUCUCUGCAAUUGAUAUAGUAAACUUAGGACACAUUUUGAUUGACCCAAAACCAAAAGAUGGUUGUCAUUUCUUACCAACUUGGGAAACUAGAAAUAAAUAAGUUAGGGAUACUAUUCUAAGUACCCUUUCUAAUGAACUUUUUGAUAUUUAUUGUCAAUUUAAAGUUGCAAAAGAAAUUUGGGAUGCAAUAAAUAAAAAAUAUAUUUUGGAAGAUGCAGGAACUCAUAAAUAUGUCAUAGGGAAUUUUAGAAAUUUCCAAAUGACCGAGGAUAGAGAUGUAUCAUCUCAAAUCCAUGACUAUCACUUGUUAUUAAUGACUUAGUUAUUGAAGACAUUAACUUUUAGAGACUUGGAAAAAUUAGAAAAAUAACAUGAAACAUAAAAGGAAACAAAUGUCCUUAGAGAGUGUCAUAAUCCAUAUUAGGAUUGAUGAACAAAACCGAAAUAGAGAUAAUGUUAAGAAAGCUAACGAAUUGUCUUCUAAGACUAAUGUAGUAGAAGAAAAACCUAAACCCAAAAACAAUAGGUCCAGGAAACAAAACUUUAGGACCAACCCCAAUGUAUCAAACAAGGUCCAAAACUCAACUAUUAAAAAAUGGGGUAAUUGCUUUGUUUGUGGCAAGUCUGGACACCAUGCAGUUCAAUGUCGCCAUAGGAAGAGAAUUGAGAAGUCCAAUUCAAAGGCAAAUCUAACAGAGGUAGAGGUGAUCACAGCAGUAAUUUCCUCUGAGGUGAGCAUGGUCACCAAUAUGAAGAACUGGGUGGUAGACUCUAAGGCUACCAUACACAUCUAUGGGAAUAGAAGUGCAUUUACUUCCUAUACCAUUGUAAAGGAAGGAGAUGAACAAGUGUUCAUGGGUGAUUCUAGAUCUACUCCAGUGAUUGACAAAGGGAAAGUUCUUCUCAAGCUAACCUCUGGAAAAGUGUUUGCCCUCAGUGAUGUUCUUCAUGUGUCAGAUAUCCGUUGGAACUUGGUGUCAGUAUCUCUACUUGGAAAAGCAGGAGUGAGGAUCUUGUUUGACUAUGAUAAAAUAGUUUUAACCAAGAAUGACGCAUUUGUGGGAAAGGGCUAUUAUGUUUAUUAUAUUAUCAAUAAUAAUGCAUCUUCUUCCGUUGCAUGCUUACAUAGUUGAUUCUUGUGAUAUUUAGCAUGGUAGACUAGGACAUGUGAACUUUUCAUAUAUGAAGAAAAUUGUUGAAUUAAGUUUAAUCCCUAAAUUGUCCUUAGAAAACCAUGGAAAAUGUGAAUCUUGUGUAAAAUCUAAAACCAUAAAGAAAUCUUGCAAAUUAGUUGAAAGAGAAUCAGAUCUACUAAGUUUAAUACACAAUGACUUAGGAGACCUAAAAAAUACAAUAACUAGAGGUGGUAAAUGAUUCUACAUAACUUUCAUAGAUGACUACUCAAGGUAUACAAUGGUAUAUCUUUUGAGAAACAAAAAUGAAGCAAAAGAUGCUUUCAUGAAAUACAAAAAUGAAAUGGAAAAUCAACUAAGUAAGAAAAUUAAAAGGCUUAGAAUUAAUAGGGGAGGAAAGUAUGAGUCCAACCCCUUUAAUUCUUUUUUUGAAGAUCAUGGGAUCAUUCACGAAACUACUCUUCUUUAUUCCCCUAAGUCUAAUGGAGUAGCAGAAAGGAAAAAUAGGACCUUAAAAGAAAUUAUAAAUGCAAUGUUGGUAAGUUCAAGAGCACUCUUGAACUUAUGGGGGAAAGUUAUCUUAUCUACAUGUCAUAUUCAAAAUAGAAUACCUUACAAGAAAACUGGUAAAACUCCUUAUGAGUUGUGGAAGGGUUAUGCACCUAAUAUAACAUACCUGAAAGUGUGGGGGUGUUUAGCUAAAGUUUUUCUCCUUGAACCUAAAAAACGAAAACCAGGUCCUAAAACCUUCGAUGCAAUGUUCAUUGGUUAUACUAAGAAUAAUGCGACAUAUAGGUUUCUUGUUACUAAGUCAGAAAAUAGUCUUGUAGAUGUCAAUACUAUACUAGAAACAAAGAAUGCAGAUUUCUUUGAAAACAUCUUUCCUAUGAAACUAAAUGGUGAACAACAAGUUCGGAAAACAAGUAGAGAUAAGUCUAUUGAACCUUUUGAAUUUGAACCUAAGAGUAAAAGAGAUAGGAAAGAAACAAACCUUGGAGAUGGUUUCUACACCUUCCUAAUAGAUGAAGACCCUAGAUCCUACAAAGAAGCUAUAACUUCUCCUGAUACACCAUUCUGGAAGAAGGCCAUUAACAAUGAAAUCGAAUCAAUCAUGUAUAACCAUACAUGAGAGUUAGUAGAUUUACCUCAUGGUGCAAAGACUAUUAGUUGUAAAUAGAUCUUUAAAAGAAAGUUAAAACAAGAUGGGUCCAUAGAGAAGUAUAAAGUUCGUUUAGUUGCCAAAGGAUUUAAACAAAUGAAUGAUGUAGACUACUUUGACACUUUUACCCCUAUGACUAGAAUAGCAUCAAUUAGAGUAUUGAUCGCUCUAGCUUCCAUUCAUAAUUUGGUGAUAUACCAAAUGGAUGUCAAGACUGCAUUCUUGAAUGGGGAUUUGGAAGAGGAAAUUUAUAUGAAACAACCUGAAGGUUGUGUAGUUCCAGGAAAGGAAAAAAAAGUGUGGAAGUUGGUUAAAUCACUAUAUGGGUUAAAACAAACUCCCAAACAGUGGCACAACAAGUUUAAUCAUGUGUUAGUAACUAAUGGAUAUUCUAGUAAUGAUGUUGAUAAGUGUAUCUACAACAAGUAUGAGGAUUACACAUGUGUAGUCAUUUACCUUUAUGUUGAUGACAUGCUAAUCUUCGGAACUAGCCUAGAGGUUGUGUGUGAGACCAAUAAAUUCCUAAGUUCUAAGUUUGAUAUGAAAGGCCUAAAGGAGGCAGAUGUGAUUCUAGGAAUUAAAAUAACUAGAACACCUAAUGGGCUUAAACUUUAUCAAGAGCACUAUGUUGAAAAUAUCCUAAGGAAGUUUAAACACUUUGAUUGUAAACCAGUAUCAACUCCUUAUGAUCCCAGCUCACAGCUAAAGAAAAAUAGAGAAUAUAGUGUUGCCCAAAUAGAGUAUGCUCAUAUCAUAGGAAACUUAAUGUACUUAAUGAACUGUACCAGACCUGACAUUACUUAAGCAGUAGGUAAAUUGAGUCGAUACACCCAAAGUACUAAUCAGGACCAUUGGACUGUUGUUUGUAGAGUCCUUGAGUAUUUGAGAGACAUCAUUAACUAUGGUUUGUGCUUUAGUGGAUUUCCAAGUGUCCUUGAAGGUUUUAGUGAUGCAAAUUGGAUUUCAGAUUCAGAUGAGAUGAAAUCCACUAGUGGAUAUGUUUUAAUCCUUGGUGGAAGUGCAGUUUCUUGGAAGUUUGCAAAGCAAACUUGCACUACUCGGUCUACUAUGGAGGUUGAGUUUAUUGCCUUAGGAAAAACAAGUUUUGAGGUUGAGUGACUUAGAAACAUCUUAACAAAUAUCCUUUUAUGGAUGAGACUAGCCUCGUCUGUGUCUAUAUGUUGUGAUAGCCAAGCUACAAUUGCUAAUGCUAAGAGUAAAAUAUUUAAUGGGAAGAACAUGCAUAUACGUCUAAGGCACAAUAUUGUGCAACAGUUGCUUGAAACACAGGUUAUAUCUCUAGAAUGAGUGAGGUCAAAGUUGAAUUUGGCCGAUCAUUUGACCAAACCACUAAAUAAGAAACUAGUGAAAUAAACAUCGACAGUGAUGAGGCAAAUGCCUAUUACAGAAGUCAAGAGUGGUGGUAAUCCAAUCUAUUAGAAUGGAAAUUCUAUGAAGUAGGUUCAUAUGGGUAAUAACAAAUCACUUGUUGACUUGAGGUGCUCUAUCAACUCUAAUUGUAUGAGAGUUUAUCCCUAUGGUGUAGAUAGAGCAUAUUCUGCAUUGAUUAAGGUUGAGUGUUUACUCUUAAUGAAUACCAUAUUCCUUAUGGAUGGUACGUUUAAUGUAGAACAUACUUGAUGGAUUCAUCUAUAUGAGAGUGGAGGUGGGGUCGCUUCCUAUGAGAACUUAGGCAGGUUCUCUAGAGCUCUCAUGAACAUCCAGGCAAGGCGCAUGGUCUAUUUGUGCCAACCCGUUUUAUACAGCUCGUAGUGUAGUUGAGAAAACAAAUGUGGAUAAAAGUCCCUUGAGUUACAUCAAGAAACACUGGUUCAUAGAAAUUUAUUUUCACCUUUGUGAUUCAAUCCUUAUUUGUCCUGAGACUGGUUCAUAGCCUUUGUGCACCAGUACUAAUGCAUUAGAUUUUUUUUCCUUCAAAAAAAAUUACAUUUACACUUAGUGAGGGAUUGUAGGAAGAGUGUAAAUAAUUUUUUAUUUUAUUUUAUUCUAUUAGUCUUAUAUUUUUGGAAAGAAUCCUAUUGAGAAUUAUUUUUAUUUUAUUUUAUUAGUCUUAUAUUUUUUGGAAGAGUCCUAUUGGGAUUGUGCUAGUGGAGUCCCAUUCCAUUUAUAAGUAGAAUCCCCUUCCACUUUGAGUCAUAUUCUAAUUACAAGUAGAGUCCCAUUGAGACUGUGUUAGUGACCUAUAAAAGCAGACCACCCCUCACUCUUUAUAUACGAAUACCAAAUUUUCAAAGAAUUUUUCAAAGAGUCUUUUCAUACAUCUAUCUGGAGGAAUUUUUUCAAAACCCGAGUUGUACACAUCUCGCUUACAGAGUGCACCCAAAACGAGAUCUGGUUGUUGAAUCCUGGAGGUAGACCACUGGUACCCUAGUGCACCAAGUUCGUUUUCGAGGAGAGUGGAUAUAUUUCAAGGACAGUAUUUGUCACACCUCGAUCGAUAAGUUUUUCUUCUUAUUAAUUAUGUUCUUUAUUUGUGUCUUUCGGGUUAGUCAUUUGUUUCCAUACCCUUAAAUCCAACAUGCAUGUGAGCAUCACUUCAGAUGCAUUUUGUCCAUAGAAACCAGCAUAAACACUAUAUGCUUCAUAUCCUCGGACAACCUCUAAAUAUUAAAAAUUGAUCCACUCUGAUGGUGACAUCAAACUCUCCGACGAUGGUUGAAGCCUCUUUCUACCUUCAUUAGCUAGGUAUUCUUGGGAAAUCUCUAUAAAAGAGUACACAAAAUGAAAUGACAUAAAGGAAAUGUUUAGAAUCGAGUUCAUAAUAAUAAGAAUCACUUUAAUUAAUAUUUCUAUAAAUCAAGGAGAUGCAUAUAAUGGCGGGACAUUUAUAAUGAGAUGCAUAGAAUUAUACAAAAGACACACAAAAUGGGGUGCAUAAUGAUAAGAAUUCACUCUAUCCAAUAUUUUUGUAAAUUAAAACUAGUUAGAUAUUAAUAAUAUUUUAUUCUUUUAAUUGAAGAAAUAAUAUUUUUUUUUCCUUAUUAUUCAUUUUUUUUUGUAUAAUUCAUAAUAUAUUUUUCUAUAAAUUUUUGUAAAGAAAUAAUAGAACUCAAUGUUUUUAUUGUCAAAAUUAUCAAACUCUUAAUGGAACUAGAGUUAGGGGAAGAGGCUUGAAGUUAAACCUUCUCUUUCUAAAAAACCACGUAUUCCUUUUUUUUUUUUAAAAAAAAAAAAUCCAAGCCUUCCAUAAGUUUUUUAGUUUGAUGUUAAUCAAAAUAAACACAACAAAUUUCCUAGUGUGGCAAAAUAAAAUCAUCUUCUUGGUUUGUGAUAUUAGUUUUCUCCAUCAUAUCUUAAGUGGAGAACCUAUUGAAAAAAUUAAGGAUGAUGAGAGAAAUAAAAGUUUUAUCCUAAUUUGAUUUCAAUCAAGCUAAACAUCACAAAUUUCCUAUUAUGUUGAAAUCAAAUCAUCAUCUUAGUCCAUCACAUGAGUGUUCUCCGUCAUUUCUUAAAUAGAGAAAAACUUGUUGAUGAAGAAAUUAAGAAUGAUAAGGGAAGCGAAAUUCAUAUAUUGCAAUACUAGUUAUGAAUUUACAAUGACGAAUUUGUCACUUCAUGAAUUCUUGAAACUUUGAAAGAAGACGUUUUUUUAACAUGAAAUGUAAGCAACGAGACCAAGCUAUGAAACAAUAGGAUGUUUGCCACUCCUAUUUAUGGGCUUGAGCGAUCUGAGUUCUCAUUUCUUUGGGCAUACUUAGAAAAUGAAUAUGAUUGAUUUGUUGAAGAUGUUAUGCUCUAUUGUCCAAUUUCAAUGGUUGAACCUCCUAUGAUGCAUUUCUUAAUUCAAGAUCUUACUAAUUGAAAUCAAAGGAUUACCAAUUCAAAGUGAUGAAUUGUUUCCAUAAUUAUAAUUUCAUUUUAUAUUGGACUAGAUUGAAAUAGGAUUAUAUACUCAUUAUGAGAAGAAGUGAUUCGAGCUUAUCUUAGAUAAAUAACUAUGUUUACAUAUAAAUCCCUACCUAGUUGCAUUCUAUUUAGGAUUAAGAGUAGACGUGGCAUAGGGGUGAUGUUAAUGAGAUGGGCAGCACAGGUGGAAAUUCUAGCACAGCUAUCAGUUGGGGGCUCAUUGUUCCACUCUGGGUGGGGUCCAGCCAUAGAAACAUUUCAAUUUGGGUAUCGUCUCAUUGUAUUACCAUUCAUAAUCGAUCAAAGCUUUAAUGCAAGACUUUUUGUGGGGAAGAGUAUGUCUGCGGAAGUAGAGAGAAGUGAAGAUGGGUCAUCUAGCGGAGAGGACGAAGCAAUGAUAAAAGGAUAUCAAGUGAUUAAAUAAUCUAAAAUUAAAAGAUGAUAAAAGAGUACAAUAUUCCGUACUACAUAUGCACCCAACCCAAUAUUAUCAGCAAUCAAGAUUCACAUGCGUGCUUUCAUACUAUUGUAAUGAAAUUAGAAUUUUGUAAACAACAUUGGAACUUCUCAAAAAUUGGCAGACAUAUCACUUCUGCUUUGCAAACCCAGUUUUCAGAUACUUAACAAACCCUCCUAUAUAGUGAUCCUGAUGGAGCUUCGGGUCGCCAAAAAUGGCAGCUGCCUCUCUUGCAUGGAUCCUCAGCUUCUCUCCUUCCUCGGACACCGUGGCAAGUCUCAAAGACUUGGCUAUGUCUUCCCUGCUAAAUGAUCCGUCUUCUCUUCUCUCUACUUCCACAGCCAAACCCUUCUCCACAAGCAGCCUUGCAUUCAAACCUUGAUCAAUAAUGAUGGGCAAUACAAUAAGACAGUGGCCAAAUUGAAGGGUUUCUAUCACUGAACCCCACCCAGAAUGAAACAAUGAACCUCCGAUUGAUGGGUGUGCCAGAAUCUCCAUCUGUGGCGCCCAUCCCAUACACACCAUCCCCCUGCCGGAGGUCCGGCCACUGAAACCGGAAGGUAGGGCAUCGGCAUCUUCAAUAGCCCAGUCGGGUUUUCUGAGUGCCCACAGAAAUGGCAAUUCGGAUGGCUCUAGCCCAUAAGCUAUCUCAUGAACUUGGUCUUUUGUCAACUUACACUCACUCCCAAACCCUACAAACACAACUGACUUGGGCUUUUGUUCAUUAAGCCAUUUGAAGUUCUCCCCCCAUGACCCAUCAGUGAUUUGAAUUUCUCUCCCUUCUGCCUUUUCCGGCGGGAGUAAACCCACAGGAAUCACCGGCUUGCCCAUGAGAUUUCCAAGUAAAUUCAGGUAUUCACCUUCAUACUCCACACAACUACGCACAGCCACGGCUUGACAUGAAUUAAUGAUCUCGACAUAUCUUGCAGCGUCAGUUGUUCCAGAAGCGUUAUUAGUAAAGAAGCCGGAAUAGACGGCUUUUGCCUCAUAGCCCUUGAAAGCCACUGAAGAUGGAAAACUGAUCCAUUCCGGCGGUGAUGUCAUACUCUCCGGAGAUGACCUAAGUCUCCUUCGACCAUCUCCGACGAGGGAAUAAGCAGGCCCAACGAAGGCAAGUGUUGAAGCCGAGAAAACAGAGAAGUACACGAGCGGUACACCAUGUUCUCGAGCAAUUGAACUGACCCAAUGCGGGAAGAAAUCGAUGAUUAUUCAAUCUGGUGAAGUAUCAGCAACAUACUGCUUGAAGGGGUGUUGAAGGAGAUCAAGAGCAGCCUUCAAGUACUGAAUUUUUUCAAAGGGCAUAUCAACAGUAGCCUCAGCACCCUCAGGCAAGAUACUCCCAUUCUCCAUUACUGGAAAGGGAAGUUCCACGAACUUGAUCAGAGAUGACAAAUUUGGUGGAGGUUUAAGCAGUCUCUGGAUGUUCCUCGGAGUAGAUACCAGUGAAACUCGGAUUCCUGCUUUAGCUAUGGCGAUGGCGAGGUGAAAAAACGGAAUCAUGUGGCCAAAGGCCGACCAUGGAAGCAUGACUACAUGCAUUUUACCAGCCAUUUCCCACCGUGAAUGCACUCCGUACCAG
RNAcentral lists this long non-coding RNA (11578 nucleotides) under Vitis vinifera (wine grape). RNAcentral's name for it is "long non-coding RNA (VVIN_LNC005233)". Lineage: Eukaryota; Viridiplantae; Streptophyta; Magnoliopsida; Vitales; Vitaceae. The record is from RNAcentral.